UACGAGGGGGGCAAGCGUUGUCCGGAAUUAUUGGGCGUAAAGGGCUCGUAGGCGGUUUGUCGCGUCGGGAGUGAAAACUCAGGGCUUAACCCUGAGCCUGCUUCCGAUACGGGCAGACUAGAGGUAUGCAGGGGAGAACGGAAUUCCUGGUGUAGCGGUGAAAUGCGUAGAUAUCUGGAGGAACACCGGUGGCGAAGGCGGCAUCCUGGACCGGCAUUGACGCUGAGGCGCGAAAGCCAGGGGAGCAAACGGG
This 253-nucleotide ribosomal RNA is filed under the name uncultured bacterium. Its description in RNAcentral is "partial 16S ribosomal RNA". It matches the Rfam family "Bacterial small subunit ribosomal RNA", at positions 524 to 776 of the family's 1533-position model. The record is from RNAcentral.